UGGGGAAUUUUGGACAAUGGGGGAAACCCUGAUCCAGCCAUCCCGCGUGUGCGAUGAAGGCCUUCGGGUUGUAAAGCACUUUUGGCAGGAAAGAAACGUCGCGGGUUAAUACCCCGCGAAACUGACGGUACCUGCAGAAUAAGCACCGGCUAACUACGUGCCAGCAGCCGCGGUAAUACGUAGGGUGCAAGCGUUAAUCGGAAUUACUGGGCGUAAAGCGUGCGCAGGCGGUUCGGAAAGAAAGAUGUGAAAUCCCAGAGCUUAACUUUGGAACUGCAUUUUUAACUACCGGGCUAGAGUGUGUCAGAGGGAGGUGGAAUUCCGCGUGUAGCAGUGAAAUGCGUAGAUAUGCGGAGGAACACCGAUGGCGAAGGCAGCCUCCUGGGAUAACACUGACGCUCAUGCACGAAAGCGUGGGGAGCAAACAGGAUUAGAUACCCUGGUAGUCCACGCCCUAAACGAUGUCAACUAGCUGUUGGGGCCUUCGGGCCUCGGUAGCGCAGCUAACGCGUGAAGUUGACCGCCUGGGGAGUACGGUCGCAAGAGUUAAAACUCAAAGGAAUUGACGGGGUCAUAGCUGUUUCCU
This 586-nucleotide ribosomal RNA is filed under the name uncultured bacterium. Its description in RNAcentral is "partial 16S ribosomal RNA". It matches the Rfam family "Bacterial small subunit ribosomal RNA", at positions 355 to 1375 of the family's 1533-position model. The record is from RNAcentral.